This 252-nucleotide ribosomal RNA is filed under the name uncultured bacterium. RNAcentral's name for it is "partial 16S ribosomal RNA". It matches the Rfam family "Bacterial small subunit ribosomal RNA", at positions 524 to 776 of the family's 1533-position model. The record is from RNAcentral.
UACGGAAGGGGCAAGCGUUGUUCGGAAUCAUUGGGCGUAAAGGGCGCGCAGGUGCUCUGUAUGUCUGCCGUGAAAGCAUACAGCUCAACUGUAUUGUGUCGGUAGAAACUGCAGGACUUGAGGCUGGGAGGGGCUGGUGGAAUUCCCUGUGUAGCGGUGAAAUGCGUAGAGAUGGGGGAGAACACUCGUGGCGAAGGCGGCCAGCUAGACCAGUUCUGACACUGAGGCGCGACAGCGUGGGGAGCAAACAGG